UUUUUAAAAUUUAAAUUAAAUGUUAACUAAUACUCCUCUUUCAAGCGAAACUUUUGCUGAAAUCCUAGGCAGCCAAGGCUUUUUAACAACUUGCGUUAGCAGAUGUUUCCUCCGCUCGCCGCCGUCCUGUCAACCCAGAAGUGUCGAUCUCUGAAUGUGACGUAACAUGGACGAGAGUUAACGUGGACCGCUCCUAAAGCUUAGUUCCAUAUAAAUGCACAGAUAAUUCAUUGUUUUGACAUUAGUGAAAACCAUACUGACCUUGAAGUUGAAAAAAGAGCCUCAUAUAAAAAAAAACAAUACUAAAACUGUCUAUGCGCCACGCACACUCAACAUACUCAAUCAAUCAACUUUUAUUUCCAGACUCGUAGUCCAAUAAAUACACAAACCAAUAAAAACAACAGCACAUACACAAACAACAAAUACUGAUAUCAAGAUCACUAAUAUUUGCGUUUGGCAGUGGUGACUACGACUUUAAUGUGGACGUGGAUUACGGCUGUUGGAAACAACGGUGUGGAUCGAUCUGUCUCAGCUGUGUCUGCUUGUGAUGGAGUGAGCUUUCUCUCUGUACUCAUUCUGAUUUAUCUACAGUACACAUAUCGUGCACAAGGACUGGUUUCCAUUUUAUUCUUUUUUUAAUUUUUAAAUGUUGACUGGAACAAAUGUGUAAUCAUCGGUGGUAUUGUUGGUGUCAUUACACACUCAGACAGAUGGGGAAAGAGGGAUCCAGUUCCCUUGAAGAGCCUCGGUAAUUACAUUCAGCAGCCAAUGUUGAUACGUAGAACUGAGUGCUUGUAAAGCAGUAAUGGAGAGAGCAGUUAAUCACGUGCGUACACAGCAGGCAAAAUCUGAGAAUCUUUCCCCACAAAUAAAAAAAAAAAAAAAAAAAAGGAAGCUAUGCCCGUUUUAAAUCAAACAGAAUAAUUGACACUGUCAGACUUUGUUCUUGCCUUUUUUUUCCCUUCUUUUUUCAUACGGAGAAUGAGGCCGUGUAGUCUGAGCCAACCAGUGUCCAGAUAGUUUAAAUAAUGCACUGUUUCACUACAUUCUCCUCCGGCUGGCAUGAAGAGAGAGAGAGACCCGCUGUUUUUUCCAUCGGAGGAAAAAAAAUAAAAAAAUAAACCUGGCUAAUUGACAUGCGUUUUCCAUGCUGGGCUAAAUGAAUUAUUUAUGGAGGGCGAGGAGCAAGCGGGGCUCAGAAGACGGCGCAUCCUUGUGGGUUGAGUCCCAUAGUUGUCGGAGGCCGAUUGCCAUGUGUGCGAACGUGCACGACGGGACGUUAAAGGCCCGAUCAUAUUAUUUAACCAUAUAACAUGUGUUCUGCUGAUUAAUAAAACACAAGUUUCAGCCUACAAAGUCUGUGUAUCGGACUAGCGCAGUAAUAAGGUCACAUCUUUACUUACCUUGGCGCGUCCGGACUCCCGCCACCAUGCACACAAACAAUCGCGCACUCAAAUUAACACAUGCCUUCUUCGUCUGCCCUGUUUCAGUGUGUGGUAAAUGGCAUUCUGACAGCAAGACGCCACCCCAUUAGCCGUCGGAGUAUCUCAUUCCAAUAGUCACUGCGCAGCUUAAUUGUUUCUCAGUCCAUCAAACACUUUGGGUUGCCAUCUGUAAAGACGCGAUUGCCAUAAUGUAUUUCCACGCUGCUACAACACAGUCACCUGUUGUUUUACAGCCUCUGUUCACCUCAUGAGUUUCGGAGUCGUUUAAACCGAGUUAUCCCGCCCUCAGUGAUGGAUAGACUUCAGCAGGCUUCACACGUAUGUGAUCCUGCAAUGUGAACGGCAGAAUGUUUCAGCAAAACCCUGGAUAUGCUUCAGUUUUCAGUGUUAAGUUGUAACAACUUUGUGCUUGUGGUCUGUUGAGGGUUAGGCACACAAACCACUUGAUUAGCAAAAGAUCAUGUUUCUCAUUACUGGUUCUGUUGCCACGAAUUCAAGGUCCUAUUGUAAAUACGAAGUUUUCGUCACAACAUGUCGUCAAAAAAUAUCUGUUUUUUCUCGCCGCCAUCACAGCUGGAAAAAUUCGAGAAGUCUCGUUAAAAUUAUCCAGUGGUUUGGCACAAAUAUACAACGCCAACAUUGUAUUCUUUCGACCGUGCCUGGAGGGGAAAAAAGGAUUGCCUCCGUUUCAAUUCAAGAUAGUCAGUCGGCUCAUUAAUAUACUGCUGAUGAUGACAUGCUCGAGUUAAUGGAAUGAUGAUUAAAAUGAUUUUUAAAAUUA
This is a long non-coding RNA of Acanthopagrus latus (yellowfin seabream), 2226 nucleotides long. RefSeq lists it as uncharacterized. Lineage: Eukaryota; Metazoa; Chordata; Actinopteri; Spariformes; Sparidae. The transcript is spliced from 2 exons. The record is from RefSeq and is a predicted model, not a curated record.